AGAAAGCGUAAUAGCUCACUGGUCGAGUCGGCCUGCGCGGAAGAUGUAACGGGGCUAAACCAUGCACCGAAGCUGCGGCAGCGACACUGUGUGUUGUUGGGUAGGGGAGCGUUCUGUAAGCCUGCGAAGGUGGCCUGUGAGGGUUGCUGGAGGUAUCAGAAGUGCGAAUGCUGACAUAAGUAACGAUAAAGCGGGUGAAAAGCCCGCUCGCCGGAAGACCAAGGGUUCCUGUCCAACGUUAAUCGGGGCAGGGUGAGUCGACCCCUAAGGCGAGGCCGAAAGGCGUAGUCGAUGGGAAACGGGUUAAUAUUCCCGUACUUGGUGUUACUGCGAAGGGGGGACGGAGAAGGCUAUGUUGGCCGGGCGACGGUUGUCCCGGUUUAAGCGUGUAGGUGUGUGUUCCAGGUAAAUCCGGUUCACUUUAACACUGAGGCGUGACGACGAGGCACUACGGUGCUGAAGCAACAAAUGCCCUGCUUCCAGGAAAAGCCUCUAAGCAUCAGGUAACAUCAAAUCGUACCCCAAACCGACACAGGUGGUCAGGUAGAGAAUACCAAGGCGCUUGAGAGAACUCGGGUGAAGGAACUAGGCAAAAUGGUGCCGUAACUUCGGGAGAAGGCACGCUGACACGUAGGUGAAGUGAUUUACUCAUGGAGCUGAAGUCAGUCGAAGAUACCAGCUGGCUGCAACUGUUUAUUAAAAACACAGCACUGUGCAAACACGAAAGUGGACGUAUACGGUGUGACGCCUGCCCGGUGCCGGAAGGUUAAUUGAUGGGGUCAGCGCAAGCGAAGCUCCUGAUCGAAGCCCCGGUAAACGGCGGCCGUAACUAUAACGGUCCUAAGGUAGCGAAAUUCCUUGUCGGGUAAGUUCCGACCUGCACGAAUGGCGUAAUGAUGGCCAGGCUGUCUCCACCCGAGACUCAGUGAAAUUGAACUCGCUGUGAAGAUGCAGUGUACCCGCGGCAAGACGGAAAGACCCCGUGAACCUUUACUAUAGCUUGACACUGAACAUUGAGCCUUGAUGUGUAGGAUAGGUGGGAGGCUUUGAAGUGUGGACGCCAGUCUGCAUGGAGCCGACCUUGAAAUACCACCCUUUAAUGUUUGAUGUUCUAACGUGGACCCGUUACCCGGGUUGCGGACAGUGUCUGGUGGGUAGUUUGACUGGGGCGGUCUCCUCCUAAAGAGUAACGGAGGAGCACGAAGGUUGGCUAAUCCUGGUCGGACAUCAGGAGGUUAGUGCAAUGGCAUAAGCCAGCUUGACUGCGAGCGUGACGGCGCGAGCAGGUGCGAAAGCAGGUCAUAGUGAUCCGGUGGUUCUGAAUGGAAGGGCCAUCGCUCAACGGAUAAAAGGUACUCCGGGGAUAACAGGCUGAUACCGCCCAAGAGUUCAUAUCGACGGCGGUGUUUGGCACCUCGAUGUCGGCUCAUCACAUCCUGGGGCUGAAGUAGGUCCCAAGGGUAUGGCUGUUCGCCAUUUAAAGUGGUACGCGAGCUGGGUUUAGAACGUCGUGAGACAGUUCGGUCCCUAUCUGCCGUGGGCGCUGGAGAACUGAGGGGGGCUGCUCCUAGUACGAGAGGACCGGAGUGGACGCAUCACUGGUGUUCGGGUUGUCAUGCCAAUGGCACUGCCCGGUAGCUAAAUGCGGAAGAGAUAAGUGCUGAAAGCAUCUAAGCACGAAACUUGCCCCGA
RNAcentral lists this ribosomal RNA (1692 nucleotides) under Salmonella enterica subsp. enterica serovar Enteritidis. RNAcentral describes it as "partial 23S ribosomal RNA". It matches the Rfam family "Bacterial large subunit ribosomal RNA", at positions 1127 to 2802 of the family's 2925-position model. Lineage: Bacteria; Pseudomonadati; Pseudomonadota; Gammaproteobacteria; Enterobacterales; Enterobacteriaceae. The record is from RNAcentral.